AGUUUGUGUGUUUUUUUCUGCCAAGGUGCUGAUUGUUUAGCUGUUUCAUUUAAGGGCAGUGUAAAUAAUAGUUACUUCUAUUAUAAUGUUUAUGCAUACAAGGUAUUACUUGGGGGUAAAACUAAAACUUAGAAUAUAUGAGCUAUUUUAAUCAGAUGUGUAUGGAGAAUGAUUCAUCAGCCAAAAGUGUGUUCACAAGUAGGAAUGAAUCAGAGGGAUCAUUCCUAUUAUCACAAAACAAGGAAACCACUUGAAUAUGUGAGAAACAUAGAGAAUCACACCAUUAACAGUUUGCAACAUUGUAAAUAUUUCCACAGCAAUUUUUCAGAACUUGUAACAAAAUUUAAUAUUUGCUUAUUAUUCCCUUUUCAAAUCCAUGAUCAGUUGUAACACAUUCUUCUACAAAGCAGAAAAAUUUUUGAAACAAAGUAGCACAGUAUUAAUUUGAACAAACAUUUACUUACAAUUAAAUAAAUGUCUUAAUAGUAUAAUAAAUUCAAUUUAAACACUGCAACUUCUAGAGUCUACAGCAGUGGUAGCCAACCUUUUUAGGUUUGAGUACAUACAUUUCAUUUCAGAAAUCACUGGCAGUCUACUUUAUAGUUUAUAGCAGGGGUG
Molecule: long non-coding RNA, 618 nt
Filed under: Androctonus crassicauda
Lineage: Eukaryota; Metazoa; Arthropoda; Arachnida; Scorpiones; Buthidae
Source: RNAcentral